CUCCUAGGGGGGCAGCAGUGGGGAAUAUUGCACAAUGGGCGAAAGCCUGAUGCAGCGACGCCGCGUGAGGGAUGACGGCCUUCGGGUUGUAAACCUCUUUCAGUAGGGAAGAAGCCCUCUUUGGGGGUGACGGUACUUGCAGAAGAAGCGCCGGCUAACUACGUGCCAGCAGCCGCGGUAAUACGUAGGGCGCAAGCGUUAUCCGGAAUUAUUGGGCGUAAAGAGCUCGUAGGCGGUUUGUCGCGUCUGCUGUGAAAGACCGGGGCUCAACUCCGGUUCUGCAGUGGGUACGGGCAGACUAGAGUGCAGUAGGGGAGACUGGAAUUCCUGGUGUAGCGGUGAAAUGCGCAGAUAUCAGGAGGAACACCGAUGGCGAAGGCAGGUCUCUGGGCUGUAACUGACGCUGAGGAGCGAAAGCAUGGGGAGCGAACAGGAUUAGAUACCCUGGUAGUCCAUGCCGUAAACGUUGGGCACUAGGUGUGGGGGACAUUCCACGUUUUCCGCCCCGUAGCUAACGCAUUAAGUGCCCCGCCUGGGGAGUACGGCCGCAAGGCUAAAACUCAAAGGAAUUGACGGGGGCCCGCACAAGCGGCGGAGCAUGCGGAUUAAUUCGAUGCAACGCGAAGAACCUUACCAAGGCUUGACAUGGACCGGAAAGACCCUGAAACCAGGUGCCCCCGUC
This 682-nucleotide ribosomal RNA is filed under the name Arthrobacter sp. RNAcentral's name for it is "bacterial SSU rRNA". It matches the Rfam family "Bacterial small subunit ribosomal RNA", at positions 336 to 1020 of the family's 1533-position model. The record is from RNAcentral. Lineage: Bacteria; Bacillati; Actinomycetota; Actinomycetes; Micrococcales; Micrococcaceae.